Hymenobacter sp. is the source of this 180-nucleotide non-coding RNA. NCBI's taxonomy places the organism in Bacteria, Pseudomonadati, Bacteroidota, Cytophagia, Cytophagales, Hymenobacteraceae. The record is from Rfam.
ACAAUGGAGAGUUUGAUCUUGGCUCAGGAUGAACGCUAGCGGCAGGCCUAAUACAUGCAAGUCGAACGGUUGUUAGCAAUAACAAUAGUGGCGCACGGGUGCGUAACGCGUAGCCAACCUACCCGAAUCUGGGGGAUAGCCCGCCGAAAGGCGGAUUAAUACCGCAUAAAACUGCAGUCC